RNAcentral lists this ribosomal RNA (442 nucleotides) under uncultured bacterium. RNAcentral's name for it is "partial 16S ribosomal RNA". It matches the Rfam family "Bacterial small subunit ribosomal RNA", at positions 338 to 795 of the family's 1533-position model. The record is from RNAcentral.
CCUACGGGAGGCAGCAGUGGGGAAUAUUGGGCAAUGGGCGCAAGCCUGACCCAGCAACGCCGCGUGAAGGAAGAAGGCUUUCGGGUUGUAAACUUCUUUUCUGAGGGACGAAGAAAGUGACGGUACCUCAGGAAUAAGCCACGGCUAACUACGUGCCAGCAGCCGCGGUAAUACGUAGGUGGCAAGCGUUAUCCGGAUUUAUUGGGUGUAAAGGGCGUGUAGGCGGGAAAGCAAGUCAGAUGUGAAAACUCAGGGCACAACCCCGGCCCGCCGUUGAAACUGGCAGUCUCGAGUUGGAGAGAAGUAUGCGGAAUGCGCGGUGUAGCGGUGAAAUGCAUAGAUAUCGCGCAGAACUCCGAUUGCGAAGGCAGCAUGCCGGCUCCACACUGACGCUGAGGCACGAAAGCGUGGGUAUCGAACAGGAUUAGAUACCCGAGUAGUC